RNAcentral lists this ribosomal RNA (382 nucleotides) under uncultured eukaryote. RNAcentral describes it as "partial 18S ribosomal RNA". It matches the Rfam family "Eukaryotic small subunit ribosomal RNA", at positions 592 to 976 of the family's 1831-position model. The record is from RNAcentral.
UGUAAGCGUAUACCAAAGUUGUUGCAGUUAAAACGCUCGUAGUCGGAAUUUGGCAGUUCCGGAUGUGUGCACGUCGUGUGCGCACUUCGCGGGGAUUGCUUUUGUGGUCUUGCGUAGGAUGAGGCACUUUUAUUAGUGAACGUCCUCACGCAACCACUUUUUACUGUGAGAAAAUCAGAGUGCUCAAAGCAGGCAUUUGCCGUGAAUGUAUUAGCAUGGAAUAAUAGAAUAGGACUUGGUUCUAUUUUGUUGGUUUGUUGGGACUGAGUAAUGAUUAAGAGGGACAGUUGGGGGCAUUUGUAUUUCGGUGCUAGAGGUGAAAUUCUUAGAUUACCGAAAGACAAACCGCUGCGAAAGCGUCUGCCAGGGAUGUUUUCAUUGA